RNAcentral lists this ribosomal RNA (341 nucleotides) under uncultured fungus. Its description in RNAcentral is "eukaryotic LSU rRNA". The stretch from base 1 to 105 matches the Rfam family "5.8S ribosomal RNA", at positions 50 to 154 of the family's 154-position model. Lineage: Eukaryota; Fungi. The record is from RNAcentral.
GAAAUGCGAUAAGUAAUAUGAAUUGCAGAUUUUCGUGAAUCAUCGAAUCUUUGAACGCACAUUGCGCCCUCUGAUAUUCCAGAGGGCAUGCCUGUUUGAGCGUCAUUUCUCUCUCAAACCUUCGGGUUUGGUAUUGAGUGAUACUCUUAGUCGAACUAGGCGUUUGCUUGAAAUGUAUUGGCAUGAGUGGUACUGGAUAGUGCUAUAUGACUUUCAAUGUAUUAGGUUUAUCCAACUCGUUGAAUAGUUUAAUGGUAUAUUUCUCGGUAUUCUAGGCUCGGCCUUACAAUAUAACAAACAAGUUUGACCUCAAAUCAGGUAGGACUACCCGCUGAACUUAA